Ficedula albicollis (Collared flycatcher) is the source of this 2894-nucleotide long non-coding RNA. NCBI's taxonomy places the organism in Eukaryota, Metazoa, Chordata, Aves, Passeriformes, Muscicapidae. The record is from Ensembl.
AACAUACAACAUCAAUUUUUACCACACCAAACAUGACUACAACCAUCACUACCCCUUCCAUAACUACCUCAAUGAAAAGAACCUUGGCUACUACACCAAAGUCUGUUCCCUCAUCACCUUUUGCCUCAUCAACCACUGCUUCAACAGAGACCGAGCAAGCAGGGAUCACCUCACCACCCUUCAAGACCACCACCAAAAGGGAGAUGGCAACCUCCUCAAUACCUACUCAAACCAAAACUCGGAGCACAACUUUCAGCCAGCCUAAACUAACAACAGCAGGUAAAUAGCACUUUCUUAUAUCUGUCAAGUGAAGCCAUUGCUCAUAAGACAUAUGUCAAUAUACUCUUUAUAAAAAAAACCCCAAGCAUUCUUACUAGUGGUCUUAACAUUGCAAAUAGAAAGGAAAGGACAUGGAUAAGAAGUGUGAGUAAAAUGGAAAUUUGUCUUGCCAACAGAGCAAGCAUCUGACAUCCAAAUAUGAUGUUAAGCUAACAUUUCUCUUCCAACACUUCCUCCAAAUUUAGACUAAAUCUCUCUACACUUCAAAGCAAGUUCUUGAAAAUUCACAGACCACAGAAUAUAUAUUCCCCUACACUUUGUAAGAAAUGCUCCCCAAGAACAGUCUCCUCUGAGGCUGUAUGGCAACAUGUAUUACUACAUUAGCAACUGACAGGCUGGGACAGUUGUGGUGGGAAGGCAGCUGUACACUCUUUCCCAAAUCCGGGUCUCUCCCACAAACUACUGUUGGGGUGCAUAUAUCUAGGUCUCCUUGUGCAAGCAGCUACAGCUUCCUCUAGAACCUUACCAGCUCCCAACCAUUACUAAUAUUCAUUCUUUCCUCACAGAGAGUGAGGGAACCGAAGCAACCACUCUGCACUACCCAGAAGGUGAGUAAAAGGGACUAGAGAGAUGCCCUUGGCCUAAGACUCUGCUUCACUUAUCCCAGCUUUUCAGAUGAUGGUCCUCCCCAGUUUGGAAUACCUGGGAGGGGAAACGUGCAUCCAGUGAGGCUCUUCUUUCCUCAGGAGCUUCAGAAAAGGCAGGGAGCACAGAAUUUCAGAGGCACCCUUCAGACUCGUCCUCUAUCAACUUGUGCUUUUCUCUCUGUAGUUGUCACCCACAUAAGAACAACGUUGACACCGCCUGUGCAGCACCUUGUCACACAGACACAGACCACCCCUGCCACAUCCAUCAGCAGCACCUCUGUCCUGAGAGAGACCAGCCCUGCCACCAGGCCACAAGUUCCACUGACAAGGACAUUUCCAAGCUCCAGCUCUUCGCUUGUCACCUCAGCCUCGUCUGCUUCUUCCCUCUCCUCAACCCAGCUGGGAACAUCAUAUCCUGCUUACACCCGUGAACAGUCAACUGUACCACACAUUAGGACACCUGUGACCACACACAAGACCAGCACAGCCACCUCCAUCAGCAGCACCUCCAAGACCUCUGUCUCCACAGGGCCCAGCCCAGCAAGCAGCACAGGAGCCCCUCUGGAAACAACCUCUGCCCAUGCCAGCUCUCCACCUGCCCCCAGCAGCCCGCUCAGCACAAGGCUGCCAUCCACUGCCACCACUUCCACUGGCUCCUCCACAGCAGCUGCCAGCACCAGCCCCAGGCCUACACCUACAACCCUGAGGCCCAGGCCCUCUUCCCCAGCAACCCAAGCUGCAAAGGAGUCUCCUGUAACAGAGUCCUCUGCACCCACCACAGCUAAAACCAGCACGCUGCCACAACCUGCUUCUUCUCCCUCCUCAACUGUGUCCUCAACAUGGCUCAGCUCCUCACAGCCUGCCUUCACCCAUGAAGAGUCAGCUGUGCCACACACUGGGACACCUGUGACCACACACAAGACCAGCACAGCCACCUCCAUCAGCAGCACCUCCAAGACCUCUGUCUCCACAGGGCCCAGCCCAGCAAGCAGCACAGGAGCCCCUCUGGAAACAACCUCUGCCCAUGCCAGCUCUCCACCUGCCCCCAGCAGCCCGCUCAGCACAAGGCUGCCAUCCACUGCCACCACUUCCACUGGCUCCUCCACAGCAGCUGCCAGCACCAGCCCCAGGCCUACACCUACAACCCUGAGGCCCAGGCCCUCUUCCCCAGCAACCCAAGCUGCAAAGGAGUCUCCUGUAACAGAGUCCUCUACAGUCACCACAGCCAAAACCAGCACUCUGCCACAACCUGCUUCUUCUCCCUCCUCAACUGUGUCCUCAACAUGGCUCAGCUCCUCACAGCCUGUCUUCACCCAUGAAGAGUCAGCUGUGCCACACACUGGGACACCUGUGACCACACACAAGACCAGCACAGCCACCUCCAUCAGCAGCACCUCCAAGACCUCUGUCUCCACAGGGCCCAGCCCAGCAAGCAGCACAGGAGCCCCUCUGGAAACAACCUCUGCCCAUGCCAGCUCUCCACCUGCCCCCAGCAGCCCGCUCAGCACAAGGCUGCCAUCCACUGCCACCACUUCCACUGGCUCCUCCACAGCAGCUGCCAGCACCAGCCCCAGGCCUACACCUACAACCCUGAGGCCCAGGCCCUCUUCCCCAGCAACCCAAGCUGCAAAGGAGUCUCCUGUAACAGAGUCCUCUGCAUCCACCACAGCCAAAACCAGCACGCUGCCACAACCUGCUUCUUCUCCCUCCUCAACUGUGUCCUCAACAUGGCUCAGCUCCUCACAGCCUGGUAAGGCUCCCUCCCAAUUUUUCUGUUCUGCCCAGCUCCUCCUGUCUUCCUUCCCUCCCACCAUCAUUCCCUCCAUGAACCGUGCAGUACUUGUGGAUCUUUGCUUGCCCCACCAUUCCCAUUGCCUUUACUUGGCCCCGUUCCCCAGUGUAUUCCUGUGCCUGUGCACUGCCUCUGCUUCAGAUGGAGCUGAUUAUUGUUCCCUGCAGGUUUCCUAG